AGAUGAGCUCAUCUGAACACAGUUCCUCUUUCAGGUCCAAACGUUUGAGUGCGGAAGAGUCCAGUGAAGUCCUGCUGAGAGAGAUACAGGAUUUCCUCGUGUGCUGGUUGUGUCAGGUAGACUGUAGGUCUGUAAAGAGCUCUGCAGAAGUGCUGAGGUAGUGUAGUUUGAGUUGUUGACUGAUCGGUCAGUAGAGCGGGUGUAGGAGUGGUCAUAUCUGCAGUCGUGCUGUCUCUGUAUGUAGUGAGGAAGUUCUGUAACUCAGGAAGAAUGCAGGUUUGUUUUUAUCUGCUGCUUGUGCUCCAUGUUGCUGAAGGCUGCACACUGAAUGACCAUGAGGAGGUAGAAAAGAUUACUGCAUACACAGGAGGGUCAAUACUGCUGCCCUGCUACUGCACUGACCCACGUACCACACCUGAGAGACUCAUCUGGAAGAAACUCACCUCAAACACACGUGAAUGGGAAGCGAUGUCCAGUGAGAGUGGUCAGUACAGAGACAGAGUUCAGCUGGUUAAUGGUCACUCUCCAGGAAAUCUCUCUCUACUCAUAUCACACCUGACUGAAGAGGAUUGAGGAUAUUACAGAUGUACCGUUGAAGGUGUCAGAAGCAAAGAUAUCAGCCUCACUGUUAAAGGCUGCACUCUGACCAACCAUGCACACACAUUAUAUAUCACAGCUUAUACAGGAGGGUCAGUACUGCUGCCCUGCUCCUGCACUGAGCUACGUGCCAAACCUGAGACAUUCACCUGGAAAAAAUACAUCAAUCAAAAUUGGGAAAGGAUACCCAUUGAAAGUGGUUAGUUCAGAAACAGACUUCAGCUGGUUAAUGGUCACUCUCCAGGAAAUCUCUCUCUACUCAUAUCACACCUGACUGUAGAGGAUGGAGGAGUGUACAUGUGUGAUGCUAUGAAAAGAGGACUCACAUACAUCAGCCUCACUGUUGAAGGUAAAACACUGAUUUAUAUUCUGAGUGAAAAAUGUGUUGAGUCAACUGAGAUUGUAUUAGUCUUACAUUAUAAAUGCUCCAAUCAGAGCUUUAAUGAGGGUUCUAUAGUGAGGGUGUGUGCAGUAGCUUUGUUUACUUAUUUUUAGAGUAUAUGGAUGUCUGUAACUUCCUAUAAUUUCUACUUUAGGGAC
Long non-coding RNA from Colossoma macropomum (tambaqui), 1137 nucleotides. RefSeq lists it as uncharacterized. The transcript is spliced from 3 exons. The record is from RefSeq and is a predicted model, not a curated record. NCBI's taxonomy places the organism in Eukaryota, Metazoa, Chordata, Actinopteri, Characiformes, Serrasalmidae.